This 262-nucleotide ribosomal RNA is filed under the name uncultured Glomus. RNAcentral describes it as "partial 18S ribosomal RNA". It matches the Rfam family "Eukaryotic small subunit ribosomal RNA", at positions 624 to 886 of the family's 1831-position model. The record is from RNAcentral. Lineage: Eukaryota; Fungi; Glomeromycota; Glomeromycetes; Glomerales; Glomeraceae.
AAGCUCGUAGUUGAAUUUCGGGAUUAGUAGGUUGGUCAUACCUCUGGUAUGUACUGGUCUCACUGAUUCCUCCUUCCUUAUGAACCGUAAUGCCAUUAAUUUGGUGUUGCGGGGGAAUUUGGACUGUUACUUUGAAAAAACUUAGAGUGUUUAAAAGCAGGCUAACGCUUGAAUACACUAGCAUGGAACCUAAUGAAAUAGGACGUUCGAUCUUAUUUUGUUGGUUUCUAGGAUUGACGUAAUGAUAAUAGGGAUAGUUGGG